AUGAGGCGAACGACGAGCUUGAGGGAGGUCGCGCCGCCGUCCGUGUUGGCGGUGGUGUUGGAGGACGAGGACGAGGACGAGCAGGCCAAGGCGGUGGUGCAGGCCGAAGAAGGUGGCGCCGGCGGGGGGCAGGACUGGCUGGCGGCCCUAGGCGGCGGCAGCGGGGCCCCCGGGACGGACUGGCUCGCGGCGUACCGCGCGCGCGCGGCGCCGGCGCGGGCGGGGCUCCGGCGCAACUCGGCCGACUACUCCAAGGUCGAGACGGCCGCGUUCCUCCGCCACUGCGGCCUCUGCCGCCGCCUCCUCGGCCCCGGCCGCGACACCUUCAUGUACAAGGGCGAGGCGGCCUUCUGCAGCCUGGAGUGCCGGCAGCAGCACAUAACGCACGAGGAGUGGAAGGACAAGUGCACGCCAAGGUCCAUGAGCGAGGCGGCGGCGCCGGCGACCAGCCGCGGCCGCUCCGGCAAGACCGACACCGGCGGCACGGUGGCGGCGGCCUAA
Molecule: ribosomal RNA, 501 nt
Filed under: Triticum aestivum (bread wheat)
Lineage: Eukaryota; Viridiplantae; Streptophyta; Magnoliopsida; Poales; Poaceae
Description: partial small subunit ribosomal RNA
Source: RNAcentral